AACGAACGCUGGCGGCGCGCCUAAUACAUGCAAGUCGAGCGAGAAGACGUAGCAAUACGUUUGUAAAGCGGCGAACGGGUGAGGAAUACAUGGGUAACCUACCCUCGAGUGGGGAAUAACUAGCCGAAAGGUUAGCUAAUACCGCGUACGCUCCUUGGACUUCGGUUCAGGGAGGAAAGCGAUACCGUGGGCAUCGCGCUCUUGGAUGGGCUCAUGUCCUAUCAGCUUGUUGGGAGGUAACGGCUCACCAAGGCUUCGACGGGUAGCUGGUCUGAGAGGACGAUCAGCCACACUGGCACUGCGACACGGGCCAGACUCCUACGGGAGGCAGCAGUAAGGAAUAUUGCGCAAUGGGCGAAAGCCUGACGCAGCGACGCCGCGUGGGGGA
RNAcentral lists this ribosomal RNA (388 nucleotides) under uncultured bacterium. RNAcentral's name for it is "bacterial SSU rRNA". It matches the Rfam family "Bacterial small subunit ribosomal RNA", at positions 29 to 408 of the family's 1533-position model. The record is from RNAcentral.